This 210-nucleotide ribosomal RNA is filed under the name uncultured bacterium. RNAcentral describes it as "partial 16S ribosomal RNA". It matches the Rfam family "Bacterial small subunit ribosomal RNA", at positions 568 to 775 of the family's 1533-position model. The record is from RNAcentral.
UGUCUAGGUGGCUGUGCAAGUCGAAGAUGAAAUCCCAUGGCUCAACCAUGGAAUGGUCUUCGAAACUGCAUAGCUUGAGGAUGGUUGAGGAAGACGGAAUUCCCGGUGGAGCGGUGAAAUGCGUAGAUAGUCGGGAGGAACACCAGAGGCGAAGGCGGUCUUCUGAGUCAUUCCUGACACUGAAGCACGAAAGCGUAGGGGAGCGGAACG